GAUGAACGCUGGCGGCGUGCCUAAUACAUGCCAGUCGAGCGAACAGACGAGGAGCUUGCUCCUCUGACGUUAGCGGCGGACGGGUGAGUAACACGUGGAUAACCUACCUAUAAGACUGGGAUAACUUCGGGAAACCGGAGCUAAUACCGGAUAAUAUAUUGAACCGCAUGGUUCAAUAGUGAAAGACGGUUUUGCUGUCACUUAUAGAUGGAUCCGCGCCGCAUUAGCUAGUUGGUAAGGUAACGGCUUACCAAGGCGACGAUGCGUAGCCGACCUGAGAGGGUGAUCGGCCACACUGGAACUGAGACACGGUCCAGACUCCUACGGGAGGCAGCAGUAGGGAAUCUUCCGCAAUGGGCGAAAGCCGGACGGAGCAACGCCGCGUGAGUGAUGAAGGUCUUCGGAUCGUAAAACUCUGUUAUUAGGGAAGAACAAAUGUGUAAGUAACUAUGCACGUCUUGACGGUACCUAAUCAGAAAGCCACGGCUAACUACGUG
RNAcentral lists this ribosomal RNA (497 nucleotides) under uncultured bacterium. RNAcentral's name for it is "partial 16S ribosomal RNA". It matches the Rfam family "Bacterial small subunit ribosomal RNA", at positions 28 to 507 of the family's 1533-position model. The record is from RNAcentral.